Molecule: ribosomal RNA, 1247 nt
Filed under: Salmonella enterica subsp. enterica serovar Weltevreden
Lineage: Bacteria; Pseudomonadati; Pseudomonadota; Gammaproteobacteria; Enterobacterales; Enterobacteriaceae
Description: bacterial LSU rRNA
Rfam family: Bacterial large subunit ribosomal RNA
Source: RNAcentral
AAAGCGUAAUAGCUCACUGGUCGAGUCGGCCUGCGCGGAAGAUGUAACGGGGCUAAACCAUGCACCGAAGCUGCGGCAGCGAACGUAUCACCCAAGACAACUUUACGGAGUUGACGAUUGACGGAGCGAAGCGACGUCAAAGCGUUCAUUAAAGUCGAGUUGGCUUAGGGAUACGUUCGUUGGGUAGGGGAGCGUUCUGUAAGCCUGUGAAGGUGGCCUGUGAGGGUUGCUGGAGGUAUCAGAAGUGCGAAUGCUGACAUAAGUAACGAUAAAGCGGGUGAAAAGCCCGCUCGCCGGAAGACCAAGGGUUCCUGUCCAACGUUAAUCGGGGCAGGGUGAGUCGACCCCUAAGGCGAGGCCGAAAGGCGUAGUCGAUGGGAAACGGGUUAAUAUUCCCGUACUUGGUGUUACUGCGAAGGGGGGACGGAGAAGGCUAUGUUGGCCGGGCGACGGUUGUCCCGGUUUAAGCGUGUAGGUGUGUGUUCCAGGUAAAUCCGGUUCACUUUAACACUGAGGCGUGAUGACGAGGCACUACGGUGCUGAAGCAACAAAUGCCCUGCUUCCAGGAAAAGCCUCUAAGCAUCAGGUAACAUCAAAUCGUACCCCAAACCGACACAGGUGGUCAGGUAGAGAAUACCAAGGCGCUUGAGAGAACUCGGGUGAAGGAACUAGGCAAAAUGGUGCCGUAACUUCGGGAGAAGGCACGCUGAUAUGUAGGUGAAGCGGUUUACCCGUGGAGCUGAAAUCAGUCGAAGAUACCAGCUGGCUGCAACUGUUUAUUAAAAACACAGCACUGUGCAAACACGAAAGUGGACGUAUACGGUGUGACGCCUGCCCGGUGCCGGNUGGAGCUGAAGUCAGUCGAAGAUACCAGCUGGCUGCAACUGUUUAUUAAAAACACAGCACUGUGCAAACACGAAAGUGGACGUAUACGGUGUGACGCCUGCCCGGUGCCGGAAGGUUAAUUGAUGGGGUCAGCGCAAGCGAAGCUCCUGAUCGAAGCCCCGGUAAACGGCGGCCGUAACUAUAACGGUCCUAAGGUAGCGAAAUUCCUUGUCGGGUAAGUUCCGACCUGCACGAAUGGCGUAAUGAUGGCCAGGCUGUCUCCACCCGAGACUCAGUGAAAUUGAACUCGCUGUGAAGAUGCAGUGUACCCGCGGCAAGACGGAAAGACCCCGUGAACCUUUACUAUAGCUUGACACUGAACAUUGAGCCUUGAUGUGUAGGAUAGGUGGGAGGCUUUGAAG